This 615-nucleotide ribosomal RNA is filed under the name Triticum aestivum (bread wheat). RNAcentral's name for it is "partial small subunit ribosomal RNA". Lineage: Eukaryota; Viridiplantae; Streptophyta; Magnoliopsida; Poales; Poaceae. The record is from RNAcentral.
AUGGGCUUGCUUGGAGAUGCACGAUGUUGCGAUCCAAGGAGUUUGCCGUAUGUGAAGACUGAUGUGACAAAUGCAAGAGCAAAACUGCGAAGGGGCCUGUCAGAGCAUGAUUUGGACCUGACAAUCGAGUACUUUGAGAGAAGUCAAGUGGAGAAUCCCAACUUAUUUUUCUCGAAGCUAGAAGAAGAUGGAGCUGUUAGGGCGCUUUUCUGGGUUGAUGGGAGAACAAGGGCCUUGUAUCCAAAGUACAAAGAUUGUGUGUUUUUCGACACCACAUUCUGCACGAAUCGCUACAACUUGCCCUUUACUCCGAUUGUUGGCAUUAACAACCACACACAUACUAUUUGCUUGGGGUGCGCUUUGUUGCCUGAUGAGACCAUCGAAACUUUCAAGUGGGUCUUCCAGCAAUGGAUGUUGGCAAUGAAUAACGAGCAUCCAUUGAACAUUAUGACUGAUCAAGACCAGGCAAUGGCUACAACCAUCUCAAUGGUAUUUCCAGAUUCAACACACAGAUGUUGCGAGUGGCACGUCUUCCGGGUUGCAGGGACAAAACUAGGAAAGAUGCUGGGAAAGGAUGAGCCUUUUGCUGAAGCAUUUCUAUGGUUGCAUCAAUGA